This 491-nucleotide ribosomal RNA is filed under the name uncultured bacterium. RNAcentral's name for it is "partial 16S ribosomal RNA". It matches the Rfam family "Bacterial small subunit ribosomal RNA", at positions 29 to 507 of the family's 1533-position model. The record is from RNAcentral.
AGUGAACGCUGGCGGUAGGCCUAACACAUGCAAGUCGAACGGCAGCACAGUAAGAGCUUGCUCUUACGGGUGGCGAGUGGCGGACGGGUGAGGAAUACAUCGGAAUCUACUUUUUCGUGGGGGAUAACGUAGGGAAACUUACGCUAAUACCGCAUACGACCUACGGGUGAAAGCAGGGGAUCUUCGGACCUUGCGCGAUUGAAUGAGCCGAUGUCGGAUUAGCUGGUUGGCGGGGUAAAGGCCCACCAAGGCGACGAUCCGUAGCUGGUCUGAGGGGAGGGUCCCCCCCUGUGAAGCUGAGAGGCGACCCAGGGUCUGAGGGAAGGCACAGGUGGGGAAUGUUGGCAAAAGGGGGGAAGCUUGUCCCAGCGACGCGAGGUGGAUGAAGAAGCCCUUCGGGUGGUAAGACCGUUUGUUGGGAAAGAAAAGCAGCAGGUUAAUACCCCACUGUUCUGACGGUACCCAAAGAAUAAGCACCGGCUAACUUCGUG